UAGUCCACGCCGUAAACGAUGCUUACUCGGUGUUUGGGUUUUAUACUUGAGCACCUAAGGGAAACCAAUAAGUAUCCCACCUGGGGAGUACGUUCGCAAGAAUGAAACUCAAAGGAAUUGACGGGGGCCCGCACAAGCGGUGGAGCAUGUGGUUUAAUUCGAUGAUACGCGAGGAACCUUACCAGGGCUUAAAUGCAUAUUGACAGGGGUAGAGAUACCUUUUCCUUCGGGCAAUUUGCAAGGUGCUGCAUGGUUGUCGUCAGCUCGUGCCGUGAGGUGUCAGGUUAAGUCCUAUAACGAGCGCAACCCCUACCGUUAGUUGCCAGCAUGUCAAGAUGGGGACUCUAACGGGACUGCCGGUACAAACCGUGAGGAAGGUGGGGAUGACGUCAAAUCACCACGGCCCUUACGUCCUGGGCCACACACGUGCUACAAUGGCCAGUACAGAGAGCAGCCAUGUCGCAAGGCAGAGCGAAUCUAUAAAACUGGCCACAGUUCGGAUCGGAGUCUGCAA
Molecule: ribosomal RNA, 514 nt
Filed under: uncultured bacterium
Lineage: Bacteria
Description: bacterial SSU rRNA
Rfam family: Bacterial small subunit ribosomal RNA
Source: RNAcentral